This 78-nucleotide transfer RNA is filed under the name Camelus ferus (Wild Bactrian camel). It matches the Rfam family "tRNA". From Rfam's summary of the family: Transfer RNA (tRNA) molecules are approximately 80 nucleotides in length. Their secondary structure includes four short double-helical elements and three loops (D, anti-codon, and T loops). The record is from Rfam by way of RNAcentral. Lineage: Eukaryota; Metazoa; Chordata; Mammalia; Artiodactyla; Camelidae.
GAGGGUAUAGCUCAGUGGUAUAGUAGGGGUGCGUGCUUAGCAUGCAUGAGGUCCUGGGUUCAGACCCCAGUGCUGCCA